This 23-nucleotide non-coding RNA is filed under the name Arabidopsis thaliana (thale cress). The record is from RNAcentral. Lineage: Eukaryota; Viridiplantae; Streptophyta; Magnoliopsida; Brassicales; Brassicaceae.
UUGGAUCGAGUGGUGUACUUCGC